This 193-nucleotide unclassified non-coding RNA is filed under the name uncultured fungus. RNAcentral's name for it is "sequence contains ITS1, 5.8S rRNA gene". Lineage: Eukaryota; Fungi. The record is from RNAcentral.
UUAACUAUUAUAUAGUACUCAGACAUCACUAAACAAACGAGUUUGGGUCCUCUGGCAGGCGCAGUCAGCCGGAGCCAACGCCCCAAGGGGCGGCCUGCCAAAGCAACAAAGGUAUGUAUACACGGUUUGGAAUUACCCAUUUCAAAAAACGGAGCGUUCUUUAAUGAUCCUUCCGCAGGUUCACCUACGGAAA